GUGGUGAAAUUGGCAGACACGCUAGACUUAGGAUCUAGUGCUUCGGCGUGCAGGUUCAAGUCC
This 63-nucleotide transfer RNA is filed under the name Kandleria vitulina. RNAcentral's name for it is "tRNA_Leu_TAG". Lineage: Bacteria; Bacillati; Bacillota; Erysipelotrichia; Erysipelotrichales; Coprobacillaceae. The record is from RNAcentral.